GACGAACGCUGGCGGCGUGCUUAACACAUGCAAGUCGAACGGAAAGGCCCUGCUUUUGUGGGGUGCUCGAGUGGCGAACGGGUGAGUAACACGUGAGUAACCUGCCCUUGACUUUGGGAUAACUUCAGGAAACUGGGGCUAAUACCGGAUAGGAGCUCCUGCUGCAUGGUGGGGGUUGGAAAGUUUCGGCGGUUGGGGAUGGACUCGCGGCUUAUCAGCUUGUUGGUGGGGUAGUGGCUUACCAAGGCUUUGACGGGUAGCCGGCCUGAGAGGGUGACCGGCCACAUUGGGAAUGAGAUACGGCCCAGACUCCUCCGGGAGGCAGAAGUGGGGAAUAUUGCAAAAGGGGCGGAAGCCUGAUGCAGCAACGCCGCGUGCGGGAUGACGGCCUUCGGGUUGUAAACCGCUUUCGCCUGUGACGAAGCGUGAGUGACGGUAAUGGGUAAAGAAGCACCGGCUAACUACGU
RNAcentral lists this ribosomal RNA (467 nucleotides) under uncultured bacterium. RNAcentral's name for it is "partial 16S ribosomal RNA". It matches the Rfam family "Bacterial small subunit ribosomal RNA", at positions 28 to 506 of the family's 1533-position model. The record is from RNAcentral.